GCAGUGGGGAAUUUUGGACAAUGGGCGAAAGCCUGAUCCAGCCAUGCCGCGUGAGCGAAGAAGGCUUUCGGGUUGUAAAGCUCUUUCAAAUGGGAAGAAACGGACAUGGUUAAUAACCGUGUCUAAUGACGGUACUAUCAGAAGAAGCACCGGCUAACUACGUGCCAGCAGCCGCGGUAAUACGUAGGGUGCGAGCGUUAAUCGGAAUUACUGGGCGUAAAGCGUGCGCAGGCGGUUUUGUAAGACAGGUGUGAAAUCCCCGGGCUUAACCUGGGAACUGCAUUUGUGACUGCAAGGCUAGAGUACGGCAGAGGGGGGUAGAAUUCCACGUGUAGCAGUGAAAUGCGUAGAUAUGUGGAGGAAUACCGAUGGCGAAGGCAGCCCCCUGGGUCGAUACUGACGCUCAUGCACGAAAGCGUGGGGAGCAAACAGGAUUAGAUACCCUGGUAGUCCACGCCCU
RNAcentral lists this ribosomal RNA (460 nucleotides) under uncultured bacterium. RNAcentral describes it as "bacterial SSU rRNA". It matches the Rfam family "Bacterial small subunit ribosomal RNA", at positions 351 to 803 of the family's 1533-position model. The record is from RNAcentral.